GACGAACGCUGGCGGCGUGCCUAAUACAUGCAAGUCGAACGGACAGGCCUGCUUCUUGUUGUGCAGUCGUUGUACUCGAGCGGGGAACUAGUGCGUAGCUCACGUCUCUUUUGGCCUGAACUAACUUAUGGAACCGGGAGAUAGUACCUAAUUCUCUAUUGGACCGCAUGGUUCUGUCGUGAGUGGCGAAUUUGUUGUUACUUGUUGAUGGUGCGCCCGCGGCCUAUCAGGUUGUUGGGGGGGUAAUGGACUACAACAGCGGUGACUGGUAGCCGUACUGGGAGGGUGGACGGCGACAUUGGGACUGAGAUAAGGCCCAGACGGCUACGGGAGGCAGCAGUGGGGAAUAUUGCACAAUGGGCGGAAGCCUGAUGCAGCGACGCAGCGUGGGGGAUGACGGCAUUCGGGUUGUAAACUACUUUCGAACGCGAGGAAGCCAACUGGUUGGAAGGGUGGUGACGGUAGUGGUAGAAGAAGCACCGGCUAACUACGUG
This 494-nucleotide ribosomal RNA is filed under the name uncultured bacterium. RNAcentral describes it as "partial 16S ribosomal RNA". It matches the Rfam family "Bacterial small subunit ribosomal RNA", at positions 28 to 507 of the family's 1533-position model. The record is from RNAcentral.